This 1915-nucleotide long non-coding RNA is filed under the name Fukomys damarensis (Damara mole-rat). RNAcentral describes it as "lncRNA (ENSFDAG00000026790.1)". The record is from RNAcentral. Lineage: Eukaryota; Metazoa; Chordata; Mammalia; Rodentia; Bathyergidae.
GCUCCGCGGGUAGGGGACCCACUGCGUGCACCCAGAACAUCUGCCAGCCCUGCGAGAUGCCCCGAAGACACAGCCAGGCCCACGCAGGAAACCAACCUGCAUCCCUGAGCACAGCUGUGCAUUCACACCGGCCCGCCCACCCGCCCGGGGCGCAGAAGGGCCCACUCCGGCCGUGCGUCCACAUGGUCCACGUUACGAUGUGGGGCUCUGCAGCAGGAAGAGGCUUUUCAGCUUCUCUACAGCUCCAAACUCAACUUUCACUCCAAUUUUCAAGUUGCCCCUUGGCCCUCAAAGUAGUCCUUUUGAGUGUGGUGAAAAAAGAUCUUGAACGAACAGGGCUGCAAAAUAGAGCUGUAAUGCUGAAGCGCAUCGCUAGGCGGCGGCUGCAGGAGACCAUGCGUGGCUGGCUCCUGUCGCCUCAAUGACACAACGCGGCCACCUUUCUCCCAAGGUGAGGGACACAUCCUGAGGACACCUCUAAGGUACGAGUCCAGUUUCAGGCCAUGACAUCGUGACUGUCUAGAUCUAUACAAUGUAUUUUUCACAUUAAGCAGUUUUAAAAUUAUGAUUUAAAGAACGCGUGGAUUGAGCAUGAUAAUUCACUUUAAAGAUUAAUGGGCGUUCUUUAAAUAGUUUCUGUCUUGUGUUUCUAAUAUGCAAGUCACAUUUGAUGUACACUGUCCUGUUCAAGUACUGAACUUUCACAUCAGCUAUAUUUGAGUUUAUCAAGUGUAUUUGGUAUCUCCUUGAACAUUUGGGAAAAUCUCACAAUGUUAGUGCCUCAUAAUAGCUCAUCAUCUCUAAUUUUGAAAUAUCUUUAAAAUUCUCUUCUAUCUCCCUCUUUGUUUGGCAUCAAUUUAUUCCUAUUUACACUUUCCUCUGGGAAAGAUUUAUGUAAUAUAAUACAUUAGAAGGCUACAUAAAUGACCUUUUAAAAAUAAGGCGUUUUUUAUUGUCAUAAUAUAAAAACUUGGGAUUUGUUUGCAAUGAGCCUUUCAAGGAAACAAGAAGAAGUACUAAUUAGAAAUGAAGUUAAAAAAGGGGGGCUUGGGAUUUAGCUCACUGGUUCCAUUGCCUGCCUCACAAGCACAAGGUCCCAAGUUCAAUCCCCGGAACCAAGGGAAAAAAAAAAGUGAAAAUCUAUAAUUACUCAAGGCAGUGAUCCUUUGCUUGUCCUAGUUAAUAGGAAGUGAUUUUCAAGGGGAAAGAUGAGCUUGCAGUCAUAGCUUAGAGCUAAAGGGCUUGGGGGUAAAGUGUACUGUUUUUCCAAUUUGCAGAAAUAAUCCAGUGUCUUUGAUAGAAUUUGUAUUUGUGUUGAGUCACGUUUGAAAGUGCCAGGGCAAGAGUGUGGACAGUGAGCUGAGCCAUCUCUUCCCUCCCAGGGCCUGCCCUUCCUUGAAGAAGCCCACGGCAGCUCCAUCAAGUCCAGGGAAUACAGGCCAGGGAGGAAGCCAGGCAGAUCUCGCACGGGCUCAGCUACUUGGACAGGAAAUAUUAAGACAGGUACCAAACAUGUGGUCUAGGAAUGCGUGUGUCCAUGGCAGGACAGACAGGAAGCUGCGGCCUUUCUUUUCUCUUAUUUAGUCCAGGCUACAAGCUUAUUAGUUGGUGCCAUUCACACCCGGGGUGGGUCUUCCAAGUUCAUUAAAUCCAUCACCCACACCCAGAACUACCCCAGACCAAUCAGUGGACUAAUCCAGUUACCACACACCCAUGAUUUAGCCACUCCCCAAAGGCCCACCCAUGAGAGUAUGUGGCUUUAGGGGGACAUCUAAAUAUAACCCAUAAUGGUGAGAAAUGGCUUAGAGCUAAUUCUAAAAGCAAACAGGAAAGAGUGCAUUAUUUGUAUUUUUGUUGUGAUCUUUAAAAAAACUUUAUCAUUUACAUAUUAUAAUGUUAACCCACUUAAUCUGUG